Molecule: ribosomal RNA, 497 nt
Filed under: uncultured bacterium
Lineage: Bacteria
Description: partial 16S ribosomal RNA
Rfam family: Bacterial small subunit ribosomal RNA
Source: RNAcentral
GAUGAACGCUGGCGGCGUGCCUAAUACAUGCAAGUCGAGCGAACAGACGAGGAGCUUGCUCCUCUGACGUUAGCGGCGGACGGGUGAGUAACACGUGGAUAACCUACCUAUAAGACUGGGAUAACUUCGGGAAACCGGAGCCAAUACCGGAUAAUAUAUUGAACCGCAUGGUUCAAUAGUGAAAGACGGUUUUGCUGUCACUUAUAGAUGGAUCCGCGCCGCAUUAGCUAGUUGGUAAGGUAACGGCUUACCAAGGCAACGAUGCGUAGCCGACCUGAGAGGGUGAUCGGCCACACUGGAACUGAGACACGGUCCAGACUCCUACGGGAGGCAGCAGUAGGGAAUCUUCCGCAAUGGGCGAAAGCCUGACGGAGCAACGCCGCGUGAGUGAUGAAGGUCUUCGGAUCGUAAAACUCUGUUAUUAGGGAAGAGCAAAUGUGUAAGUAACUAUGCACGUCUUGACGGUACCUAAUCAGAAAGCCACGGCUAACUACGUG